AGAUGAUGAACAGCAUCACCGGAGGAUCGGGGUCAUCGUCACUUCCUUUCGGCGUCCCGAAUCCACUCAGCAUCUUCUCUCAAGGACAAUCAUCAUCUGGUGGACGCAGACCUUCUGACAGUGGAUCGGGAUCGUCUGGUGGUGGAUCUGGAUCAUCUGGCGGUGGAAU
Molecule: long non-coding RNA, 169 nt
Organism: Schistocerca gregaria
Lineage: Eukaryota; Metazoa; Arthropoda; Insecta; Orthoptera; Acrididae
Exons: 3
Source: RefSeq, a predicted model, not a curated record